This 469-nucleotide ribosomal RNA is filed under the name uncultured Rhodoferax sp. RNAcentral's name for it is "bacterial SSU rRNA". It matches the Rfam family "Bacterial small subunit ribosomal RNA", at positions 910 to 1382 of the family's 1533-position model. The record is from RNAcentral. Lineage: Bacteria; Pseudomonadati; Pseudomonadota; Betaproteobacteria; Burkholderiales; Comamonadaceae.
UUGACGGGACCGCACAAGCGGUGGAUGAUGUGGUUUAAUUCGAUGCAACGACGAAAACCUUACCCACCUUUGACAUGUACGGAACCUUUAGAGAUAGAGGGGUGCUCGAAAGAGAGCCGUAACACAGGUGCUGCAUGGCUGUCGUCAGCUCGUGUCGUGAGAUGUUGGGUUAAGUCCCGCAACGAGCGCAACCCUUGUCAUUAGUUGCUACAUUCAGUUGGGCACUCUAAUGAGACUGCCGGUGACAAGCCGGAGGAAGGUGGGGAUGACGUCAAGUCCCCAUGGCCCUUAUGGGUAGGGCUUCACACGUCAUACAAUGGUCGGUACAGAGGGUUGCCAACCCGCGAGGGGGAGCUAAUCCCACAAAGCCGAUCGUAGUCCGGAUCGCAGUCUGCAACCCGACUGCGUGAAGUCGGAAUCGCUAGUAAUCGUGGAUCAGCAUGUCACGGUGAAUACGUUCCCGGGUCUU